AAAGCUGUACACUCCAACCCAGAGAAGUCCAGGAGAACAAUUCUUGACAUGGACCGUGGAUAAAUGGAUGCUUUCAUUCCUCCAGUUUCCUUAAUCCUCCAAUCUGAAUGGACUGGGGGUGGCAAGUUCUCAGGGGUGCUGGAAGGCAGGAAUUUUGCAUAAUCUCCCCCUGAAGGUCUGCUCUGUUUGGAAGAGGUUAUCCUUUGAAGACAACUGGACAGCAUCCAACAAGCUUUUUCCUGCUCUCACAAUCUUUGCCCACUUCCCUUCACCCUUCUCCUUGGCUCUACCCAUCUCUGGGAAAAUGGGAAAAUUAUAACAAACCUUAGAUCCUUUCUUGGAGAAUUGUGAGUGGAGUAUUAUAUCCUAAUAGCCUGUUGGCAAAUCUAAACCCUAUUCAAAGAAAAUCCACUUUGAAAACUGAAUCUGUAGGGUUGCGAGCAUUCCUGGGAAAAUCUAUUUUCUCCUCUUCCUUUUUAUUUCUCCUUUUAUCUGAGGGUUUAAAUUUUCUGGCUCUAUUAUUCAAUUCAAGGCUUCUGUUAUUUCAGUUUUGGAAAUAGCCACCAGUGGAGACAGAAGAGAAUAUUCUGCAGAGAGGAGUCUGCCACUGCUGUGACUGGAACAAGAUUCUCACAUAGACUGGCAAAGUUAGGAAAGAAUGGAUGAAGAGUUUACGAUUCCAGAACUAGCAGCAGUGAGUCCAGCCCCAGCUUUGGGGAGGAGCAGGCAAGCAGUGUGGAGAAGCCUCGGAGCCUAAAAGCGGAACCGUAAGACAGCAGUUCCACCACCACCGAGCAGACAUACAAACAACGGAGCCCGGAUGUUGGAGAUUUGGAAUCAAGCUUGGUAUCCACUGGCUGGUGAGGGGGCUAGGAAAAUAUGGUUUAUAUUCACAGAGGAGUGUUACUGAGCCAUAGGAAUAAUGAAAUAUUGUUAUUUGCAGCAACAUGGAUGGCACCGAAGGGCACGAGUGAAGUCAGGCCAAAGAAUGACAAAAGCCAUAUGAUCUCAUUCAAGAAAUAUUUUCGAUUAGGUAUGACAAACAAGGAGGGAACAGUUACAUGGAGUCAAUCAUCCAACCCAGACUUCACCAUGAUCACCUUCGGCUCUAAGGAAGAGUUUCCUCCUUCAUUCUGAUUAAAUAUUUUGCAACUGUAAACACAUGAAGAGUGCAGACCCUCUUUCUCUAUCAAGAAUAUUUGAGUCCACUACUUUCACUGUGUUGUGAUUUGAAUCUUAUGAAUAAAUUGAAACUUAAAAUUUUAUCUUUUUUUCACCAGAAGACUAAUAAGAAAGUUUGGUAUCAUGCAGAAUGAACAGAAAGUAUUAAGUAUUUUUGAAAUAAAAACCUUUUACUAAUUAACACAUUUUGAAAGUUUCAAAAUAAGUUGAAAUCUUCUAAAUGUAGUAGUUUUUAUUAUUAAAUUGUAUCCAUUUUGAUGGGGAUGCUCUAAACCAAUGUUUAUCACUGAGUUUGAUGAUCACCAAAAGAGCAAAGAAGUGAGAAUAUUUAAGAACAAUUUAGUUGCAGAGAACACUGAGGGACAGAUUGGAAUGAAGCUUCAUUUUUCCAUAUCCAGCAUAUCGAGUAGAAGGAAUGUAUUAAUAAAACAGAGUGUCAAGAUAUUUCAGAAGUGGAGGAAUGAGGGCCCAAAGAGAAAAUCAAGGAUAAGAUAGAAGGACUAAAGAUUUUCUUUGACUGAUUUUAUCAGUAGGAAGCAUUUUACAUUAUACAGUUUAUCAGAAAAAUCUUCAUAUGCAUUGAAGAAAGCAUGCACAGUGGUGGGUGGGAGCCUGGAAAAAUCAAACGUAAUGAAGGCCUUAGGUCCCUAAGGGUAGAGCACAAGUCAGGGCCAGUGUUAUUGAAAGCAGAAGACAGACCAGCCAAUUUGAUUGUCUAAUGAAAGCAGAUAUUGCCCAACAGAUUACAG
Molecule: long non-coding RNA, 1931 nt
Filed under: Fukomys damarensis (Damara mole-rat)
Lineage: Eukaryota; Metazoa; Chordata; Mammalia; Rodentia; Bathyergidae
Description: lncRNA (ENSFDAG00000030634.1)
Source: RNAcentral